UAGUCCACGCUGUAAACGAUGUCUACUAGCCGUUGGGGAACUUGAUUCCUUAGUGGCGCAGCUAACGCACUAAGUAGACCGCCUGGGGAGUACGGCCGCAAGGUUAAAACUCAAAUGAAUUGACGGGGGCCCGCACAAGCGGUGGAGCAUGUGGUUUAAUUCGAUGCAACGCGAAGAACCUUACCAGGCCUUGACAUACAGCGAACUUUCUAGAGAUAGAUUGGUGCCUUCGGGAACGCUGAUACAGGUGCUGCAUGGCUGUCGUCAGCUCGUGUCGUGAGAUGUUGGGUUAAGUCCCGUAACGAGCGCAACCCUUGUCCUUAGUUGCCAGCACGUAAUGGUGGGAACUCUAGGGAGACUGCCGGUGACAAACCGGAGGAAGGUGGGGAUGACGUCAGGUCAUCAUGGCCCUUACGGCCAGGGCUACACACGUGCUACAAUGGCGUAUACAGAGGGCUGCCAACUCGCGAGAGUGAGCCAAUCCCUUAAAGUGCGUCGUAGUCCGG
Molecule: ribosomal RNA, 506 nt
Filed under: uncultured bacterium
Lineage: Bacteria
Description: bacterial SSU rRNA
Rfam family: Bacterial small subunit ribosomal RNA
Source: RNAcentral